GAAUUGACGGGGACCGCACAGCGGUGAUUAUGUGAUUAUUCGAUGAACGCGAAAACCUUACCUACCCUUGACAUGUCAGAAAAUUUUCAGAGAUGAAUUUGUGCCCGAAAGGGAAUCUGAACACAGGUGCUGCAUGGCUGUCGUCAGCUCGUGUCGUGAGAUGUUGGGUUAAGUCCCGCAACGAGCGCAACCCUUGUCAUUAAUUGCCAUCAUUCAGUUGGGCACUUUAAUGAGACUGCCGGUGACAAACCGGAGGAAGGUGGGGAUGACGUCAAGUCCUCAUGGCCCUUAUGGGUAGGGCUUCACACGUAAUACAGUGGCGCGUACAGAGGGUUGCCAACCCGCGAGGGGGAGCUAAUCUCAGAAAGCGCGUCGUAGUCCGGAUCGGAGUCUGCAACUCGACUCCGUGAAGUCGGAAUCGCUAGUAAUCGCGGAUCAGCAUGUCGCGGUGAAUACGUUCCCGGGUCUUGUACACACCGCCCGUCACACCAUGGGAGUGGGUUUCACCAGAAGCAGGUAGUCUAACCGCAAGGAGGGCGCUUGCCACGGUGAGAUUCAUGACUGGGGUGAGGUCGUAACAAGGUAACCGUA
This 591-nucleotide ribosomal RNA is filed under the name uncultured bacterium. RNAcentral's name for it is "bacterial SSU rRNA". It matches the Rfam family "Bacterial small subunit ribosomal RNA", at positions 907 to 1504 of the family's 1533-position model. The record is from RNAcentral.